This 449-nucleotide ribosomal RNA is filed under the name uncultured bacterium. Its description in RNAcentral is "partial 16S ribosomal RNA". It matches the Rfam family "Bacterial small subunit ribosomal RNA", at positions 29 to 523 of the family's 1533-position model. The record is from RNAcentral.
AGCGAACGCUGGCGGCAGGCCUAACACAUGCAAGUCGAACGAAGUCCUCGUUCUUAGUGGCGGACGGUUGAGUAACACGUGGGACCGUGUCUUUAGGUUCGGAGUAACUCAGGGAAACCUGUGCUAAUACCGAAUGUGCCCUUCGUGGUAAAGAUUUAUCGCCUUUAGACCGGCCCGCGUCUAAUUAGCUAGUUGGGGAGGUAAAGGCUCACGAAGGCGACGAGCAGUAGCUGGUAAGAGCGGAUGGAUAGCCACAUUGAGACUGAGACACGGCCAGACCACAUACGGGAGGCAGCAGUGGGGAAUCUUGCGCAAUGGGCGAAAGCCUGACUCAGCCAUGCCGCGUGCAUAAUGAAGGUCUUAGGAUUGUAAAAUUCUUUCACCGGGGACGAUACUGACGGUACCCGGAGAGGAAGCCCCGGCUAACUUCGUGCCAGCCGCCGCCGUAA